Schizosaccharomyces pombe (fission yeast) is the source of this 260-nucleotide non-coding RNA. The record is from the annotation of a GenBank genome assembly. NCBI's taxonomy places the organism in Eukaryota, Fungi, Ascomycota, Schizosaccharomycetes, Schizosaccharomycetales, Schizosaccharomycetaceae.
CUAUAUCGUCAUAAUCAUUCUGAAAAGAUAUACUGUCUUUUUCAAACUGUAGACCCGAAUCAGAUUCUUAAUCAACUUAUUUUAAGCAUGAAAUAUUACUCGCUAACAAAUCUACAAACUAGGAAAACAGGGAAAUUAAAAAAUUAUGGAUAGUAUUAAUAACUGUUCUCUGUCCAAGCUUCGUAUUCUAUUAUUCAGUAUAAUGCUCUUUGUUUACCUACUACAAAUUAGUAUUUCUCGGAUCAUAAUACUUUUGUUUU